GAUGAACGCUGGCGGCGUGCCUAACACAUGCAAGUCGAGCGAAAAGACAAUAAGAUCUUCCUCCUACGGUUAGCGACGGGCGGACGGGUGAGACGUAGAUAACCACCUAAUUAUUCUGGGAUAAAUACGGGGAAAAGCUGCUGAUACUACCUAAUAUAACUUACGGCAGAAAUCAAUAGAGAUACAGGGCUUUCCUGGUUCUAUUAGAUGGUUCCGGGCCGGAUUAGCUAGUUGGUAAGGGAACGGCGAACCAAGGCGACGAUGCGUAGCCGGACUGAGAGGAUGAUCAGCCACACUGGAACUGAGACACGGUCCAGACUCCUACGGGAGGCAGCAGUGGGGAAUCUUCGACAAUGGGCGGAAGCCUGAUGCAGCCACGCCGCGUGAGUGAAGAAGGUCUUCGGGUCGUAAAGCCCUUUUGUUGGGGAAGAAAAAAAGUGUGUGAAACUCUAGCCGUCCUGACGGUACCCAAUGAGAAAGCCCCGGCUAACUUCGUG
This 497-nucleotide ribosomal RNA is filed under the name uncultured bacterium. Its description in RNAcentral is "partial 16S ribosomal RNA". It matches the Rfam family "Bacterial small subunit ribosomal RNA", at positions 28 to 507 of the family's 1533-position model. The record is from RNAcentral.